GACGAACCGUGCGAACGUUGUUCGGAAUCACUGGGCUUAAAGGGCGCGUAGGCGGCUGGGCAAGUCGGGGGUGAAAUCUUUCGGCUCAACCGGAAGCGUGCCUCCGAUACUGCCCCGCUCGAGGGGGAUAGGGGCGGACGGAACUUCCGGUGGAGCGGUGAAAUGCGUUGAUAUCGGAAGGAACGCCGGUGGCGAAAGCGGUCCGCUGGGUCCCUACUGACGCUGAGGCGCGAAAGCCAGGGGAGCAAACGGG
RNAcentral lists this ribosomal RNA (253 nucleotides) under uncultured bacterium. RNAcentral's name for it is "partial 16S ribosomal RNA". It matches the Rfam family "Bacterial small subunit ribosomal RNA", at positions 524 to 776 of the family's 1533-position model. The record is from RNAcentral.